GACGCGAUGGCCGAGCGGUCUAAGGCGCUGACGUCAGGUGCCAGUCCGAAAGGGCGCAGGUUCAAAUCCUGCUAGCGUUA
Molecule: non-coding RNA, 80 nt
Organism: Cymbomonas tetramitiformis
Lineage: Eukaryota; Viridiplantae; Chlorophyta; Pyramimonadophyceae; Pyramimonadales; Pyramimonadaceae
Source: the annotation of a GenBank genome assembly